Molecule: transfer RNA, 77 nt
Filed under: Candidatus Sulfuritelmatomonas gaucii
Lineage: Bacteria; Pseudomonadati; Acidobacteriota; Terriglobia; Terriglobales; Acidobacteriaceae
Description: Candidatus Sulfotelmatomonas gaucii tRNA-Pro
Rfam family: tRNA
About the family: Transfer RNA (tRNA) molecules are approximately 80 nucleotides in length. Their secondary structure includes four short double-helical elements and three loops (D, anti-codon, and T loops).
Source: RNAcentral
AGGGGCGUAGCACAGUCUGGUAGCGCAUCUGCUUUGGGAGCAGAGGGUCGGGGGUUCAAAUCCCUCCGCCCCGACCA